UGAACGCUAGCUACAGGCUUAACACAUGCAAGUCGAGGGGCAGCAUGGUCUUAGCUUGCUAAGGCCGAUGGCGACCGGCGCACGGGUGAGUAACACGUAUCCAACCUGCCGUCUACUCUUGGACAGCCUUCUGAAAAGGAAGAUUAAUACAAGAUGGCAUCAUGAGUCCGCAUGUUCACAUGAUUAAAGGUAUUCCGGUAGACGAUGGGGAUGCGUUCCAUUAGAUAGUAGGCGGGGUAACGGCCCACCUAGUCUUCGAUGGAUAGGGGGUUCUGAGAGGAAGGUCCCCCCACAUUGGAACUGAGACACGGUCCAAACUCCUACGGGAGGCAGCAGUGAGGAAUAUUGGUCAAUGGGCGAGAGCCUGAACCAGCCAAGUAGCGUGAAGGAUGACUGCCCUAUGGGUUGUAAACUUCUUUUAUAAAGGAAUAAAGUCGGGUAUGGAUACCCGUUUGCAUGUACUUUAUGAAUAAGGAUCGGCUAACUCCGUG
RNAcentral lists this ribosomal RNA (491 nucleotides) under uncultured bacterium. RNAcentral describes it as "bacterial SSU rRNA". It matches the Rfam family "Bacterial small subunit ribosomal RNA", at positions 30 to 507 of the family's 1533-position model. The record is from RNAcentral.